GCUUUUCAUCGAAAACUUUCAAUAUUGAAAUGCUGAAAUACUUAUCAUCUAAUUAAUUUGGUCUUUUUUGUGUUCAAAAAGUAUUUUUUUUUUGAAAAUUGUAUUAAACACAUAACUUAAAGCAUUGCUCGUCGGAAGCGACUUCUCUUUCCCAUCACUCUGCUUAGCAACAUCAACAUAUGUAUUACCUGCCCUUUGCUUCAAAUACGAUCGGGGGAAAAUUCUCGAAUAUCCGAAUGAAUGCUGAUGAUAAAUCUGUUGGUGGACAAACAAAAUUUUCAAAAAUUCAAAGUGAUAAAAUCUUUAUUUCAACAUUCAUUUAAAAAGGCAUAUUGCACACUCUAAACUUAAAUUACUUGUAGAUAUUUCA
This is a long non-coding RNA of Ceratitis capitata (Mediterranean fruit fly), 370 nucleotides long. RefSeq lists it as uncharacterized. The record is from RefSeq and is a predicted model, not a curated record. The transcript has 2 exons. Lineage: Eukaryota; Metazoa; Arthropoda; Insecta; Diptera; Tephritidae.